CCCCGACUAGCUCUGUCAGCAGAGCAUGAGAUUCAUAAUCUCAGGGUAGUGGGUUUGUGUCCCACGUCGGGUG
This 73-nucleotide transfer RNA is filed under the name Lepisosteus oculatus (spotted gar). It matches the Rfam family "tRNA". Rfam says of the family: Transfer RNA (tRNA) molecules are approximately 80 nucleotides in length. Lineage: Eukaryota; Metazoa; Chordata; Actinopteri; Semionotiformes; Lepisosteidae. The record is from Rfam by way of RNAcentral.